Molecule: ribosomal RNA, 404 nt
Filed under: uncultured bacterium
Lineage: Bacteria
Description: bacterial SSU rRNA
Rfam family: Bacterial small subunit ribosomal RNA
Source: RNAcentral
ACAACAGACGGAAACGACUGCUAAUACCGAAUACGUUCCUUAGGUCGCAUGACCCAAGGAAGAAAGGGUGGCCUCUACUUGUAAGCUAUCGCCUGAAGAGGGGUUUGCGUCUGAUUAGGUAGUUGGUGAGGUAACGGCCCACCAAGCCGACGAUCAGUAGCCGGUCUGAGAGGAUGAACGGCCACACUGGAACUGAGACACGGUCCAGACUCCUACGGGAGGCAGCAGUGGGGAAUCUUCCGCAAUGGGCGAAAGCCUGACGGAGCAACGCCGCGUGAGUGAUGACGGCCUUCGGGUUGUAAAGCUCUGUGAUCGGGGACGAAUGGUCAGCAGACGAAUACUCUGCUGAAGUGACGGUACCCGAAUAGCAAGCCACGGCUAACUACGUGCCAGCAGCCGCGGUA